GUUGAGGUAGCUUAUACUAAAGCAUUAGUGUUACAUAUUAAAUAAAGGGUUAAUUAUCCUCCUUAAUA
RNAcentral lists this transfer RNA (68 nucleotides) under Benedenia seriolae. Its description in RNAcentral is "tRNA-Val". Lineage: Eukaryota; Metazoa; Platyhelminthes; Monogenea; Capsalidea; Capsalidae. The record is from RNAcentral.